RNAcentral lists this ribosomal RNA (488 nucleotides) under uncultured bacterium. RNAcentral describes it as "partial 16S ribosomal RNA". It matches the Rfam family "Bacterial small subunit ribosomal RNA", at positions 28 to 506 of the family's 1533-position model. The record is from RNAcentral.
GAUGAACGCUAGCGGGAGGCCUAACACAUGCAAGCCGAGCGGGAUUUGUUGGUUAGCUUGCUAACUAACAAUGAGAGCGGCGUACGGGUGCGUAGCACGUGUGCAACCUGCCUUUAUCUGGGGGAUAGCCUUUCGAAAGGAAGAUUAAUACCCCAUAACAUAUUGAUUGGCAUCAGUUAAUAUUGAAAGCUCCGGCGGAUAGAGAUGGGCACGCGUAAGAUUAGCUAGUUGGUGAGGUAACGGCUCACCAAGGCUGCGAUCUUUAGGGGGCCUGAGAGGGUGAUCCCCCACACUGGUACUGAGACACGGACCAGACUCCUACGGGAGGCAGCAGUGAGGAAUAUUGGACAAUGGGUGAGAGCCUGAUCCAGCCAUCCCGCGUGAAGGACUAAGGACCUAUGGUUUGUAAACUUCUUUUAUACAGGGAUAAACCUACUCUCGUGAGGGUAGCUGAAGGUACUGUAUGAAUAAGCACCGGCUAACUCCGU